GCUCAGGACGAACGCUGGCGGCGUGCUUAACACAUGCAAGUCGAACGAUGAAGCCCUUCGGGGUGGAUUAGUGGCGAACGGGUGAGUAACACGUGGGCAAUCUGCCCUUCACUCUGGGACAAGCCCUGGAAACGGGGUCUAAUACCGGAUACGACCUGCCGAGGCAUCUCGGCGGGUGGAAAGCUCCGGCGGUGAAGGAUGAGCCCGCGGCCUAUCAGCUUGUUGGUGGGGUAAUGGCCUACCAAGGCGACGACGGGUAGCCGGCCUGAGAGGGCGACCGGCCACACUGGGACUGAGACACGGCCCAGACUCCUACGGGAGGCAGCAGUGGGGAAUAUUGCACAAUGGGCGAAAGCCUGAUGCAGCGACGCCGCGUGAGGGAUGACGGCCUUCGGGUUGUAAACCUCUUUCAGCAGGGAAGAAGCGAGAGUGACGGUACCUGCAGAAGAAGCGCCGGCUAACUACGUGCCAGCAGCCGCGGUAAUACGUAGGGCGCAAGCGUUGUCCGGAAUUAUUGGGCGUAAAGAGCUCGUAGGCGGCUUGUUGCGUCGGAUGUGAAAGCCCGGGGCUUAACCCCGGGUCUGCAUUCGAUACGGGCAGGCUAGAGUUCGGUAGGGGAGAUCGGAAUUCCUGGUGUAGCGGUGAAAUGCGCAGAUAUCAGGAGGAACACCGGUGGCGAAGGCGGAUCUCUGGGCCGAUACUGACGCUGAGGAGCGAAAGCGUGGGGAGCGAACAGGAUUAGAUACCCUGGUAGUCCACGCCGUAAACGUUGGGAACUA
RNAcentral lists this ribosomal RNA (779 nucleotides) under Streptomyces cinnamoneus. Its description in RNAcentral is "bacterial SSU rRNA". It matches the Rfam family "Bacterial small subunit ribosomal RNA", at positions 22 to 818 of the family's 1533-position model. The record is from RNAcentral. Lineage: Bacteria; Bacillati; Actinomycetota; Actinomycetes; Kitasatosporales; Streptomycetaceae.